GCGCGAAAACUUUACAAUGCUGGCAACAGCGAUAAGGGAACCUCGAGUGCCAGGUUACAAAUCUGGCUGUCGAGAUGCCUAAAAAGCAUUUCAUAGCAAGGGCCGGGCAAGACCGGUGCCAGCCGCCGCGGUAACACCGGCGGCUCGAGUGGUAACCGUUAUUAUUGGGUCUAAAGGGUCUGUAGCCGGCCGGAUAAGUCUCUUGAGAAAUCUGGCAGCUUAACUGCCAGGCUUUCAGGAGAUACUGUCUGGCUCGAGGCCGGGAGAGGUGAGAGGUACUUCGGGGGUAGGGGUGAAGUCGUGUAAUCCUUGAGGGACCAGCAGGGGGGAAGGGGUGUCACCAGAACGGACCUGACGGCAAGGGACGA
RNAcentral lists this ribosomal RNA (368 nucleotides) under uncultured bacterium. RNAcentral describes it as "bacterial SSU rRNA". It matches the Rfam family "Archaeal small subunit ribosomal RNA", at positions 339 to 707 of the family's 1478-position model. The record is from RNAcentral.